AUUUUAAUCCGAACUCGAUGGCCAAAUAAAUCACGAGAGAGAGCCCGGGAUGACGUCAGAAAUCCAUAAAAAAAUGUUAUUGUUCUCUAGCGCCAUCUGUGAGUGGCGAGAGCAACUAUUAGUAAACACCCCCCCAACCCUGUAGACUUCGUUCAAUCCCGUUCCUGGUUGUAAGUACAAGAGUUUGUUGUCAAAUGUCAGUGGCAGCAGUCAGCAGGGGAAAAACCGUUUUUUUUUUCCGGGGGAAUAAGAAGAAGAAUUGAAUGGCGAUUUUAUACGUGUGUGUGCUGAUGGGCUAGCUUGACUCCCGCCUUAAUCAUUAGACCUCAAUUCAAUUAGGUCUUUAUAGACUUGUUUCCUAGCUGCUCUAAACAUCCGGCUUCUCAAUUAACCUGCGUGUGUCGCUGGCCAAGUCUCGUUGUGUGUGUUUGUUUGUGCGUGGCGCUCCGUUGACAGCUCCACUCUCCACCACCAACAUUUCUUUUGCUUUUCAGUCUCUUUUUCCUUCUUCUUUUUCCUUGACACACACAUUUGGCCGACGACGACGAAACGGAAUGCGUCACGUCAGUCUGGUGGCCAGUCGACGAGAUUUCCAAAAGCCAUGGAAUUCGGCCUCUAUAUCUGUUUGUUGACUCUACAUCGCCACAUUUACACGCAAACAGUUUACUCUAGUGAGAGGUCAGGGAGGGGAUAGAUCAGCUAUUUUCUCAUCCUCUCCCUUGUGUGUGUGAAUUUUCUUUCUUUUUGUUUAUGGGGUUUGGUUUUUGUUUCUCGCUUUUAUUUCUGUCUGGCCAUCUGAAAACCAACAUAGCAACGCUUGCUUAUUUUGUUGACCCCUCCUCCUGGUCUGCUGAUGAAAUUCCCCUUUCCCAUUUGUUUGCGUCCCUAAUGGGAUGUCUGCUCUACCCAGUCAGUGUUACCAUAAUACAUAAUGGAAUUAUGGCUGCGAUAAGGCUUCUUCUGGACAGAAGUUUCCCAAUGUGAUCAGUAACAGUGUGUAGUCUCAACACUUCAAGCCAAGUUUCAUGUGCCAAAUAGUCAGCGGAUUCAAUUCCUGCCCGCUUUUCUCACCAUGUUGAUCAAAGAGUACAGAAUACCCCUGCCCCUCACCGUGGAGGAGUACAGGAUCGCCCAGCUCUACAUGAUAGCUAAGAAGAGCAGAGAAGAGAGCUGUGGUGAAGGCAGCGGGGUGGAGAUUUUAGUGAAUGAACCCUACACCGAAGGCCCUGGAGGGUCUGGACAAUAUACUCAUAAAAUCUUCCAUGUUGGCAGUCACCUGCCUGGUUGGCUCAAGGCUCUUUUGCCCAAAUCUGCCUUCAUCGUGGAGGAAAAGGCUUGGAAUGCCUACCCUUACACCAGAACUCGCUACACCUGCCCUUUUAUCGAGAAGUUUAGUCUGGACAUUGAAACCGUCUACCGUGAAGACUGCGGAGACAUUGAGAACGUCUUUAAGCUCAGCAAAUCCGAGCUGAACGACCGAGCCGUCGAUUUGAUUGAUGUAGUGAAAGAUCAAUUGCCCACGGCUAGCGAUUACGUCAAGGAAGAAGAUCCAUGCGUCUACAUCAGCCGGAAGACGGGCAGAGGGCCGUUGAGUGACUCUUGGAUUCAAGAUUACUGGCGCGAAUGCAAGGGUCAGACGUUGCCCUUGUCCAAUGGCAAGGCCAUCAUGUGCGCCUACAAGCUGUGCCGGGUGGAAUUCAAGUACUGGGGCAUGCAGGCCAAGAUCGAGCGGUUCAUCCACGACAUUGCCCUGAGGAAGACGAUGGUGCGAGCCCACCGGCAGGCCUGGACCUGGCAGGACGAGUGGUUCAACCUGACGAUGGACGACAUCCGCGAACUGGAACGGCAAACGCAAGAGGCCCUGGCCAAGAAAAUGGCCUCGGCCACGACGACGACCAGCGAAGGCGGCCUGGAACAGCAGCAGCUGCAGCAAGAGGCCAAGACGAGCGGGGGAGUCAUUCCGUCCAGUCUGGUGCCGGCCUCGCCCGAAAUUGGCGGCCAGGAAACGGUGGACAGCAAAGGACAGCCGGUAGCAGCUGCUUCAGUCCAGGGAGCUCCAUCAUGGCCCAUGUCGUGCAUUUCCGAGUCGAGCAGCGAAGACGACGAGUUUUUCGACUGCCAAGAUUUCCGUUCCGCUCAGGCGGGCGGGGCCUUGUCACCGACCAUGGUCCGCUGGAGUUCAAUGGAGUUGGUCCCACAGGGCGAAGAGGCUGACGAACUGGACCCUGCCGAGAAAGUGCCAGACGAACGAAUCGAAGAAAGGGACAGCAUCUUUUCGGCUGGUUACCUGCAGCGAUUCGGGGCUAAUCAAAGGCGGCCGUCCCGCAAGCUGGUCAGCUCUUUCCUGCGGGCCAGUGGAAGUGGCCGGUCUCAAUCUCCUGGCAGCACGGGUGGAUCGAAUACGUCGUCGCUGCAAUCGCAUCCGGCCAGCGCCCUGAUUUUGGUGUUCCACGGCGGCACCGUCCUGGACGUCUCGUCUGAAUUGGCCAACAAAGCCGCCGAUUUGGCCACGUUCCGCAGCAAUUUGGAGGCUGUCAUCCGUCAACAUUUUCCCAGUUUGUGCUCGGGUCGCUUGGCCGUCCGUCUCGUCUCAUGCCCAACCUUGUGCCCAGAUGCAAUCACCGUCCUCAACAGUUUGUCUUGUUCCUCAUCCGCUUUGGUCGACCCUGUCGCAUCACCGCCACCACCGACGUCAGCGGAUUCUUCUCAUCCGGCCACGUCGGACUCGUCGGCAGGCGAUCCAGUUGCUCCCCCACCACCGGCCACCAGUGCUGCUCCUGCAGCCACCGCCUGCUGGCCACCGCUGGGCUGCCUGCCGCUGUUUGCCGCCUCGUCGCCGGAAUACGCCGACACGGUGACCCGCACGAUCGUGGCGGCCAAUCUCGCCUAUUCAGAGUUCCUCAAAUCGCCGGAAGGCGGUGGCUUCUCCGGUGCUGUGGCCGUGGUGGCCGACUCGGCCGGAUCCGUCCUCCUCUACGACGCCCUUUGCAAAUCAUCCGACCACAUGGACGGCCCUGGCGGCGACAUUCAGUCGCAUUUCGGCGGCAGCGACAACAGCAUCGCCGAAGAACCCGACCAGCACAGUCCAGGCGGCGUCUUUGAAGAGGAGAAGAAGGAACGGGAUCACUUUGCUCCUUCCGGCGCAUCGUCCUCUUUCAAAAGUCCCAGGUCCUAUCAUCACCUGCAAGCGCCGACCAACCGCCGGCACUCCACAUCGGCCAGCGAACACGGCCCAACUCGUCACAGUUCCUCAUCCGCCGCCAUUAUCAAAAAUUCUUACCUGGACUUUGAAGUGGGCGAUUGCUUCCUCCUGGGAAGUCCGCUCUCGUUGGUCUUGGCCUUUCGCAAGUGGAGCCACAAUCACCAUGGCGAACGUUGGCCACGCCGUCCUCACUGCCACGGCAUUUUCAAUUUAUUCCACUCGAUGGAUCCCCUGGCCGCCCGUUUGGAGCCGCUCCUGUCGGCCCGUUUCGCCAACACUCGGCCCGUCUCUGUUCCGCGCUACCAGCGCUACCCGCUGGGCGACGGAAAGUCCAACACUUUGGUGGAUUUCGUCCAGAACAAUCCUCAGCUGUUUCAGGAGCCGACGUCGACACCUCCCCAGCCAAAGGCCGAGGAUAACAAUGGACUGAGCAAGCGGCGGCAGUCGGACGGAUCCUUCUUCCACGGAAGUGACAACAGUCUCGGAUCCGAUCCACUGGCAGCUCAAAUGGCUUCACUGUCGCAGCGUUGGUGGGGUAGUAAACGAUUGGAUUACGUGUUUUACUGCCCCGACGGACUAACGUCGUUCCCGCCGUCGGCGCUGCCUCAUUUGCUUCACGCCUCCUUCUGGGAGUCGGCCGACGUGGCGGCUUUCAUCCUGCGCCAACUGAUGCGACUGGACGUUAGCGGAGGAGGAGGAGUCGGAAGCUCGGCUGGAUCGGUUGACGAAUAUUACGGAGACAUCAGGGACUCUAACGGCGGAUCGUUGCCCUUCAGUCCCGGCACCCCCUGCGAAAAGUGGAUGCGCAAACGGACGUCGGUCAAGAUAAAAAAUAUCGGAGCCAAUCAUCGAGCCAACGACAUUAUCGUCAACGAAACGAUGCCUCAGGUUAUCGUCGCCAGGUUCAUGUACGGGCCACUGGACAUGGUGGCGUUGACUGGCGAGAAAGUGGACGUUCACUUUUUGCGCGAUGCCAACAACGGCGAAUGGGAUCUCAUCGCCACCGAAGUGACGGACAAGGCCGGUCGAUUGGUCUGCACUCUGCCGCCGGAUCGAACUCUUCCGCCUGGACUUCAUCCCAUCAAAAUGGUGGUCCGUGGCGAUCACACGUACGCCGAUUUGUACGUGGCCGUUUUGCCGGCCCGGACCCAGGCCGUCGUCUUCAGCAUCGACGGAUCGUUCACGGCCUCCGUGUCGGUCACUGGACGUGACCCCAAAGUGCGGGCCGGCGCUGUGGACGUUGUCCGCCAUUGGCAGGAGCUCGGCUACUUGAUCAUCUACACCACUGGCCGUCCGGAUAUGCAGCAACGUCGAGUGGUCUCUUGGCUGGCCCAGCACAACUUCCCGCACGGUUUGCUGUCGUUCGCCGACGGGUUGAGCACCGAUCCGCUGCGCCACAAGGCCGACUACCUCAAACUGUUGGUCAACGACGUCGGACUGGAGAUCAGGGCCGCCUACGGUUCCAGCAAAGACAUAAGCGUCUACGCCAGCGUCGGCAUCAAGCCGGAGAACAUUUACAUUGUGGGCAAGGUAUCGCGCAAGCACCAAGGUCAAGCCCAGUCUCUCAUCGAAGGUUACGCCAGCCAUUUGUCUAAUUUGGCUUUGCAUCAGUGCCGGCCGGCCCAGAUCAAUCCUUACCUCCUUCUGCCAAGGGGUUGCCUCUCUCUGCCCGGUCACGGAGCUCCUCUUUUACGCCGAAGUGACGCAAUGUUAUUGUGAGUGAUGGGAAUAGGAUUUUUAAGAUGGGGGUGGAGCUGGGGCGUGGGUUUCCUUUUCCCAGCAGACGAGGCUGAGCCGACCCGAACGAGUCAAAAGUGGUCCGACCAGCCGCAGACUCUGCCAGUCUCACGAACGAACUCGUCACAGCCGUUCCAGUUCCAGCAGCAGCAGCGCAACAUUGUUUUUUUUUGGGUUUUCAAUCGAGAUUCCUUUCGGCCGCUGGCUAAAGCUUAGCUUCUUCUUCUGCCGGCACUGUCACCUUGAUCGGACAGCAUCACUAAUAACACGUCACCGACAGCAGACGAUAUCUAAAAUCGAAAAAAGGAUUGACGGAAUAUGAACCGGAACUACAGAAACAUGAACGGGCUGCGUUUCCUGAUGCUCAUUCUCGGUCUGAUGAUGAUCGUCAACGUCGGCCAAGUCCGGCCGGAUGACGAAACGCCGGAAGAAGAUGUCGACGACGAGAAUUUUCUAUCCGGCAGUGCUGCUGGAUCAUCCGACUCGGCAGAAGAGGACGACAACAACAAUAAAGGGAUUGAAUUGUACUUGAGCGCCAUGAAAGAUCUUUAUCGACAGAGCAAGAGACAAGAAGCCGAGCCGUUGGUUACCAGCCGAAGUGGGGCAUCGGCUCCCAUCGCUGCGCUUUAUCGCCGCAGUGCGUUAAAUAAGAAUUUCAUCCGGUUCGGACGCAGCGGCGGAGGAGUGAUCAAGACUGAUGUCAGCCGUCAGAUGCAGCCAACGCAACCCAUCAGGUUGAUGGGGUUGAACGAAUCGGAUUCCGGCAAGGAUGGAGAGCGAUCGUUUCAUCCGGCUCGCCCUUCUCGCAGUUUGAGAUCCAAUUUCAUUCGUUUCGGUCGCAGUUUCUUCCCGACGUCGAACCGAUGGGGCGAAACUGUACGCCGAUCCGCCCGCCGCACUCCAUCCGCCGGCCGGCAAAUGAUGAGCCUUGUCCACCUACCCGAUUCUUCUUCUUCUUCUCGCCGUUAAUGCCCGCAACCACCAACAACAACAAAAUCCACUCGGAGAAUAAGAGCACAGCCCCCCUAUUAUUCCACCCCCUGUUCGAUGUAUCUGACAUUUGAUUCCCCCCCACCACCAAAUGUUAUUAUUAUUACCAACAAUUUCCUACUUGUCUAUCUUUUGAUCGAUGUUUUAAUCGUUAUAUUCCAUCAAAAUAAUUUAUUUAAACAUGAUUGGAAUUCAAAUUCGAACGACACGCCGUCUAUACGUCCUCCUACCAAAGCGGAUCAUUUCUAUUAAAUUAACCAACACAGAAAUUCAAUCUGAACUGUAUUGAAUACUGUAGGAAAUAUAUAACCAAAUUUGAUAUCA
Molecule: unclassified non-coding RNA, 6253 nt
Filed under: Daphnia pulex (common water flea)
Lineage: Eukaryota; Metazoa; Arthropoda; Branchiopoda; Diplostraca; Daphniidae
Description: protein retinal degeneration B-like, transcript variant X2
Source: RNAcentral